RNAcentral lists this long non-coding RNA (1612 nucleotides) under Homo sapiens (human). RNAcentral's name for it is "mir-99a-let-7c cluster host gene". Lineage: Eukaryota; Metazoa; Chordata; Mammalia; Primates; Hominidae. The record is from RNAcentral.
AGUGUUUCCUAGAGCCAUCUGCUGACAACACGAACAUUGGGCAUCUGACAGAGGAGAAAUAUUUAUAAGGUUUAGCUCCAGUAUCACAGGCAGAGCAAUGGAGGAUGGAUUUGGAGCUGCAAGGCAAUAAACUGGUAACUGAACAAAGCAAUUAAGUCAAUGAACACUGCUAUCCUACUGGCUUUGAAAUGAAGGCACACCCCUUCAGAGUGUACCCUAUCAGAAAGAAAGAAGAGGAAAAAAAAUUAUAAUUAUUAAUUCAUGAUGCUAUGCAGGCUUUGUGAGGUUGGAGGUAACUGCUAUUGAAGAAAUGCUUCAGGCCCUGGUCAACACAACGAAAGACAAUGAACAGAAAUCGCCAUUUGAUGUGAAGAGUGACUGUAAAGGAAGACAAGAAGAAGGCACAAGGAGAUUUGCUCCAAACUAGUUCUUCCCAUAAAAUCUCUGCCCCGGCCAGUUGCAGUGGCUCACGUCUGUAAUCCCAGCACUUUGAGAGGCCGAGACCAGUCCAAGAAGAUUGUAUAUAAGAGACACCUGAUAAUUUCAAAAUCCUAGGCCCACUUCCUGAGCUGAGCAAGGACCAUGGAAUUUCACUGAGCCUACCAGAUAAUCCAGGAUAAGCUCCCUAUUUAAGCAGGAUACAGUAGAAGGGAGCUAGGUGGUAGCACAGAACCUAUUCUCUGGGGAAGAACUGACAUAGGAGACGUGACUAAGUUGCAGUUGACACUAACCCAGGCACAACAGGAAUACAACCUUUUACUACAGAUGUGGGAUUGUUCAUGUCAUCUACUAAUGCAAGAUGGAUCUGAGAACGCUGUCUGGGCUUGGUACCAAGAGCUGGUAUUUCACAGCAGCGACCGCCUCACAGACGAGCUGUGGGAAGCAGGAGGGAGACUCUCUCUUAGGGUGCCACUACUAUGGAGACACAGCUGGGCUGAACAAGAUUUGCUUCAAACGACAACAAGAGAGACAGAAAGUAUCUGGUUCAACCGCUGCCCGAGCAGGCAGGCACCAGAAGAGCUAGCAGCCAAUCCGGCCAUGCUCGAAGCCAGCUCUGCAGCUCAGCCAAUCAGUGACAUCAUUGCUUUCUUUAGCUUGCCCAUGGUGAUGUGAAGAUGAGAAGAAAUAGCAAGGCCCAACCAGUUCUUCAUCUGGAGACAGUUCAACGUUCUGCAAACCAGGACAGUACUACAGAAGGACUAAGUAUAUAGGAAACUUGACUUAUUUAAAUAAGGCAGUGAAAAAAAUAGAAUAUGGGGAGUAAAACAACCUCUGAAGCUAAGUCUGCAUAUAUAAUAACUGGAUCUUCAGGAAUUUUACUGGGAUAAUUAUCCAAAUAAAUUGCAAGCAUUCUAUCCAAAUGGAGCUCUUUCUGAGAUGAAGAGAAUUCUCAAUGUCAAGAUUUGAACAAGAAGAGAAUGGAAUACACAAUAUGGACAUCCAUAAAAAUUCAUCAGAGAGCAUUUUACUACUGAGCUGCAAAGCUCUACAUUUUCACAGUAAAACUUCUGUUUUAUCUUUUAACAACAUGAUAAAGAAAAACACAGAUGGAAGAACAUUGAGGGGGAAUUCCUAAAUGGGAGCAGUUAGCAGCUAUGAAAAUGUAGAUAUU